Molecule: non-coding RNA, 926 nt
Organism: Aegilops tauschii subsp. strangulata
Lineage: Eukaryota; Viridiplantae; Streptophyta; Magnoliopsida; Poales; Poaceae
Source: RefSeq, a predicted model, not a curated record
CACGACCAGGUAGGACCUGCCGACGGCCGAUCCAUCAAUCACGCAGCUCAAUCAAUCACGCAGCUCCAUCAUUCACGCAGCUCCUCCAUCAUUCUGGUGAGUUUCUGUAGGAAUAUCGGCGGCGGCGAUCUUAUCGCCGGCGAUCUCGUCCGAGAGCGCGCGCGGCACCGUCGUCAACCUCCAGCGCUCGCAGGAAAUGGCGGACGAUGAGUUAACUGAUAUGAUGUAUGACAUGGAGUUUGGAGAACUGAUGAAAGACUGGAUAGAAGAUUGGUCAGAUGAUGAAAAUUCAGAUCGUGGAGAUAGGUCAGAGAAUGGGAACGUAUUGGAAGAUCUUAAUGAAAACAAUGAGCAUGAUGAUGGUGAGGGAAACAACUCGGAGAUCUCGAAUGAAGAUUACAUUAGUCAGGUAUGGAAGUGGAAUUUUUUGUUGGCAUGCAUGCAAAUUGAAUUAAUCCUGGAAUAUUAUAUGAUAAGUACUUAUGUAUUUGUGUUAUAUUUUUCAGCUCAUUUCCGAAUGUCAUAAUGCGUACGACUAUUACGGUGAAUCCGACGCAGAGACAUGCCUUGAUGUCGAAUCAUUAGCUGCACCUGAUUCUGGGGAGUCGCAAUCGUCGGUCAUCAUGAGUGAGGUAUGUAUGUAAUCAAUGUUGUAUGGAAGUAAUGUUAUACCAUAGAAAACUGUUUUCAUGGCUAUGUUAUGAUUGUGUAGGUGACAGAACUUGAGGGGAAAAAGAAUGUCCAACAUACUGCUAGUGCAGAUGAUAAGAGGGAUAUGUUCAUGCAGAUAAUACAAAUGACUUUUACGUCUCACGAGGCUGCGUAUGAUUUCUACAACAGCUAUGCUAGAGAUAAUGGUUUCAGCAUUAGAAAGAAUAGGGUCAGGUAUAGCAAAACCGAGUCACGUCAUAUGCGUUAUAGGCGGU